RNAcentral lists this ribosomal RNA (674 nucleotides) under uncultured bacterium. RNAcentral's name for it is "bacterial SSU rRNA". It matches the Rfam family "Bacterial small subunit ribosomal RNA", at positions 8 to 722 of the family's 1533-position model. The record is from RNAcentral.
AGAGUUUGAUCAUGGCUCAGGAUGAACGCUGGCGGUAUGCUUUACACAUGCAAGUCGUACGGGAGUUUUGAACUCCAGUGGCGGACGGGUGAGUAACACGUAAGAAUUUGCCUUUAGGAGGGGGAUAACAACUGGAAACGGUUGCUAAUACCCCAUAUGCUUUCGAGUGAAAUGGAUUUUUCCGCCUAGAGAGAAGCUUGCGGCUGAUUAGCUUGUUGGUAAGGUAACGGCUUACCAAGGCGACGAUCAGUAUCUGGUUUGAGAGGACGAUCAGACACACUGGAACUGAGACACGGUCCAGACUCCUACGGGAGGCAGCAGUGGGGAAUUUUCCGCAAUGGGCGAAAGCCUGACGGAGCAAUACCGCGUGAGGGAUGACGGCCUAUGGGUUGUAAACCUCUUUUUUCAGGGAGGAAAAAAAUGACGUUACCUGAAGAAUAAGCAUCGGCUAACUCCGUGCCAGCAGCCGCGGUAAGACGGAGGAUGCAAGUGUUAUCCGGAAUCACUGGGCGUAAAGUGUCUGUAGGUGGUUGAAUAAGUCAACUGUUAAAUCUUGGGGCUCAACCUCAAAAUCGCAGUCGAAACUAUUCGACUUGAGUAUAGUAGGGGUAAAGGGAAUUUCCAGUGGAGCGGUGAAAUGCGUAGAGAUUGGAAAGAACACCGAUGGCGAAGGC